UACAGAGGGGGCAAGCGUUGUUCGGAAUUACUGGGCGUAAAGGGCGCGUAGGCGGCCUGCUAAGUCGAACGUGAAAUCCCCGGGCUCAACCCGGGAACUGCGUCCGAUACUGGCAGGCUUGAAUCCGGGAGAGGGAUGCGGAAUUCCAGGUGUAGCGGUGAAAUGCGUAGAUAUCGGAAGGAACAUCAGUGGCGAAAGCGGCUUCCUGGACCAGCACCGACGUUCAGGCACGAAAGCGUGGGGAGCAAACAGG
Molecule: ribosomal RNA, 253 nt
Filed under: uncultured bacterium
Lineage: Bacteria
Description: partial 16S ribosomal RNA
Rfam family: Bacterial small subunit ribosomal RNA
Source: RNAcentral